GGACUACCAGGGUUUCUAAUCCUGUUUGCUCCCCACGCUUUCGUGCCUCAGUGUCAGUGCUGGUCCAGGUGGCCGCCUUCGCCACAGAUGUUCCUCCCGAUCUCUACGCAUUUCACUGCUACACCGGGAAUUCCACCACCCUCUACCGCACUCUAGCCUGCCAGUUUCCAAUGCCAUUCCCAGGUUGAGCCCGGGGAUUUCACAUCAGACUUAACAAACCACCUACGCACGCUUUACGCCCAGUAAUUCCGAGUAACGCUUGCACCCUUCGUAUUACCGCGGCUGCUGGCAC
Molecule: ribosomal RNA, 292 nt
Filed under: uncultured bacterium
Lineage: Bacteria
Description: partial 16S ribosomal RNA
Source: RNAcentral